RNAcentral lists this small RNA (148 nucleotides) under Pongo abelii (Sumatran orangutan). RNAcentral's name for it is "Metazoan signal recognition particle RNA (ENSPPYG00000031626.1)". Lineage: Eukaryota; Metazoa; Chordata; Mammalia; Primates; Hominidae. The record is from Rfam by way of RNAcentral.
GCCAGGUGUGGUGGCGCACACCUGUAAUCCCAGCUACUUGGGAGGCUGAGGCAGGAGAAUCACUUGAAACUGGGAGGCAGAGGUUGCAGUGAGCUGAGAUCAUGCCACUGCACUCCAGCUUGGGCAAUAGAGUGAGACUCUGUCUCAA